AUGCGAGCGGCGGGGCUGCGGCGGCUGCUGCUGCUGCUGCUGGCGGGGCUGGCGGCGGCACCGGGCGGCGGCGGCGCCGCGGCGGCGGAGCAGGGCGGGCUGCCGGCGAAGAAGCUGCGCAUGGCUUACGCCACCGGGCCGCUGCUCAAGUUUCAGAUCUGUGUCUCCUGAGGCUACAGGCGGGUGUUUGAGGAGUACAUGCGGGUCAUCAGCCAGCGGUACCCAGACAUCCGAAUCGAAGGAGAGAACUACCUUCCUCAACCUAUCUAUAGGCACAUAGCAUCCUUCCUGUCUGUCUUUAAACUAGUAUUAAUUGGCUUAAUCAUCGUUGGCAAGGACCCGUUUGCUUUCUUUGGCAUGCAAGCUCCAAGCAUCUGGCAGUGGGGCCAGGAAAACAAGGUGUACGCCUGCAUGAUGGUCUUCUUCCUGAGCAACAUGAUUGAGAACCAGUGUAUGUCCACUGGGGCUUUUGAAAUCACUUUGAAUGAUGUCCCAGUGUGGUCUAAGCUGGAGUCUGGCCACCUCCCUUCCAUGCAGCAGCUUGUACAGAUCCUUGAUAACGAGAUGAAGCUCAAUGUGCACAUGGAGUCAAUGCCCCAUCAUCGAUCAUAGCCCCAUUGAUCAGCACUGAAACUUCUCGUAAGUCUCCUCCAGUCACCAGUGCGUGUGCCCAGGCGUUGGGUGGUGGUUCCCGGGCCGCGUGGUGCAGACCCAUGAAGGCCUGCACUGAAGACAGCCGCUGUUGGUGCAGGCUGGAUGCCUCUCUUGCAGCCACGUUGUGCCUCCUGGACAAACACUCAAUGAGCCCUGUUUCAGUGCUGGCCAGUCCACACUGCACAGCCAUGAGUGCAAUAAUACUGUAUAGUUUUUUUAAGACUUCAUUCGACCAGUUCAUAGAUCAGCAAUGCAGGCAUUACUAAUGGUAACUUAUUUUAUAUUCAUGUUUCACACUAUGGCAGAUUGAGUUGAUACCUAAUUUUUCCUUGGAAAAAGAGAAGUUUGUUUAAUCUGUUGUAUUUUAUAUGAAUUUAUGUUCUUUUUGUAGUUUAAAAUGAAGUUAUAGGAGUGUCUGAUAUUGUCCUAAACUGUUGAGUAAUUGAUAGCUGUCUAUCAAAUCUCUUUAAUGUGGUUAAAACAGGUUUGUAUAUUUUUCAAAAUCUAUGGCAGAGUCGAACAGUGCAUUAUAUACUGAAUUAUAUAAGCAAAAUUAUAUGCAGAAUUAUUACAUCACUUGGUGACUUCAGUGAAAAUUAAGAUCAGCUGCUCUUUAAUCAUGUGGGCCAGCUCCAGCAAUUCUUCCUUGGCCAUUUGAGAGAUGAGCUGGGCCUUCCUGCUGUCCUGAAUGGAACCCAAAAACAUUAAUUGAAAUAAAGAGUUCCCAUUUCCUGUGUGAA
Vidua macroura (Pin-tailed whydah) is the source of this 1394-nucleotide RNA transcript. It is a transcript of the gene named selenoprotein T, with no coding region annotated. NCBI's taxonomy places the organism in Eukaryota, Metazoa, Chordata, Aves, Passeriformes, Viduidae. The record is from RefSeq and is a predicted model, not a curated record. The transcript has 6 exons.